CGAACGGCUGAGUAACACGUGGGCAACCUGCCCUUUGCACUGGGAUAGCCUCGGGAAACCGAGGUUAAUACCGGAUACUCCAUAUUUGUCGCAUGGCGAAUAUGGGAAAGCUCCGGCGGCAAAGGAUGGGCCCGCGGCCUGUUAGCUAGUUGGUGGGGUAGUGGCCUACCAAGGCAAUGAUGGGUAGCCGGGUUGAGAGACCGACCGGCCAGAUUGGGACUGAGACACGGCCCAGACUCCUACGGGAGGCAGCAGCA
This 257-nucleotide ribosomal RNA is filed under the name uncultured Atopobium sp. Its description in RNAcentral is "partial 16S ribosomal RNA". It matches the Rfam family "Bacterial small subunit ribosomal RNA", at positions 99 to 355 of the family's 1533-position model. The record is from RNAcentral. Lineage: Bacteria; Bacillati; Actinomycetota; Coriobacteriia; Coriobacteriales; Atopobiaceae.